This is a non-coding RNA of Rhincodon typus (whale shark), 73 nucleotides long. Lineage: Eukaryota; Metazoa; Chordata; Chondrichthyes; Orectolobiformes; Rhincodontidae. The record is from the annotation of a RefSeq genome assembly.
GCCUGGCUAGCUCAGUCGGUAGAGUGUGAGACUCUUAAUCUUAGGAUUGUGGGUUUGAGCCCCAUGCUGGGUG